ACGAGUGGCGGACGGGUGAGUAAUGCUUAGGAAUUUGCCCAGUAGUGGGGGACAACCCGAGGAAACUCGGGCUAAUACCGCAUACGCCCUACGGGGGAAAGCGGGGGACCUUCGGGCCUCGUGCUAUUGGAUGAGCCUAAGUCGGAUUAGCUUGUUGGUGAGGUAAAGGCUCACCAAGGCGACGAUCCGUAGCUGGUCUGAGAGGACGAUCAGCCACACUGGGACUGAGACACGGCCCAG
Molecule: ribosomal RNA, 240 nt
Filed under: uncultured bacterium
Lineage: Bacteria
Description: partial 16S ribosomal RNA
Rfam family: Bacterial small subunit ribosomal RNA
Source: RNAcentral